GCUUGACUGGAACUCAGGCGAACAUCCCGAGAUGGUUUGAAAUAGAUUCAAACGUUGUGUGGAUGUGGUUCAGAUCAAAUGACCACAAGAAUCCUACAUCGCAUGGAUUCAGUGCUAUUAUAAGGCCUACGUGUGAUCAAGAUAUAAACACACCGUCAUACAUCGACACGAGAGGUUCUGGUGUAUCACUAUUAAGCGGGGUUUCUUACACCAUAGCCUCACCCAAUUCCCCUCAGAACCAUCCUCCUUCCUUGAGUAGGAUCUGGCUUAUUAAACUCCCUCAACCUGCUUGUCAACUUACCAUCGAUUUCGACAAAUUUACAACAAGAUCGGUAGAU
Long non-coding RNA from Strongylocentrotus purpuratus (purple sea urchin), 338 nucleotides. RefSeq lists it as uncharacterized. The record is from RefSeq and is a predicted model, not a curated record. Lineage: Eukaryota; Metazoa; Echinodermata; Echinoidea; Camarodonta; Strongylocentrotidae. The transcript has 3 exons.